UGAGUGGUCGUGGGCACCUGCGGUACCGAGAAGUGCCUUCCCGAAAGUCGUUCCUCAGGAGACGCGGGCACUUGCUGGCACAUACGGUGCUGCUAGAUGUGAAAAACCCUCAGGAAGAGACACGUGUAAAGUUUGUUAUGCCAACUUGACAAGCAAAUUCUAAAAUUUUUAUGGAAACGCAAGUGCCAAGAAUAGCAAAAAACACUCCUGAAGAAGAACAAUGUGGAAGGACCUGUUCUUCUGGAUAUCAGAUUAAGACAGAAGCUAAUAUGAUAAAUGGUAAAAUUCUAAAGACUAUAACAAUAAAGAAAAGUUAACUUUUUUAUGGAAGAGGGAAUUAGGAUCAGCUGAGGUGAAAAAGUGAGGACUUCCGGGUGCUGACAACAUUCUUUUUCUUGACUUGAAUACCUAGGGAUUCACUUUAUGAUUAUUCAUUAAACUGUACAAUUGCAUUUA
Felis catus (domestic cat) is the source of this 456-nucleotide long non-coding RNA. RefSeq lists it as uncharacterized. The record is from RefSeq and is a predicted model, not a curated record. Lineage: Eukaryota; Metazoa; Chordata; Mammalia; Carnivora; Felidae. The transcript has 2 exons.